GAAAGUUAUACUUUAUCCUAAUAAUAAGGUAGAGAAAUCAAAAUCAAAUUUUUUAUAUUUUUUUUUGUAUUUGUUUGUGUGUUGAUAGAGAGAGAGUCUAAAGAAAAAGACGAGCAAAUGAAGAGAGAAGAGAAACAAGAGAAGGUGAAAGCAUCAGGUCCGGUUUUGUUGCGUCCGGUAGCCGCAAGUAACUGCGACCAUCGAAGUCUCUCCUGCUUUUGUAGUCCACCCAAUCUCUCAUAUGGACUCUGCCAGUCUCCCAAGUCCCACCCAAUCUCAUACUCAGCCGUCGAUGUCAGAUAUCUAUUGGGUUCCACGCAGCUGUUCUGAUGACGUGGUUAGAUAUCAAUGGUCGAGACUAUAUCCAAGUUAUGGUCCCUUAUGUCGUGUCACAUGCUCCUGACGGACCAAAACACUCCAAAUCAGUUUUGAAACAAAAAAAAAUUAUAAAAAAACUGCAACAACUCACACAUGACCGCAUUAUUGCAAUAAUAUAAACUACUUGACUAAUUAAAUUAAUGAUAUAAACGUAAGACUACUGUAAUUUACAUGUCGCUUAAUGAAAUGAAAAAAAAUCAGGUUCUAACUAAAAUAUAUAUAUAACUCCAUAAUUGUACGAGGACAAAAGAAUAAGAUAUCUGAUACAUUAUUUAGAAUUUUAGUGCUUUUUCCUUGAGGGAAAAUGACAUUUCCUUUUCGUUUCUAGGAUUCCCCUUUCACUUUCUUACGAACAAAAAACAAAAAUUAUAUAUGAAACUUGG
This 761-nucleotide long non-coding RNA is filed under the name Capsella grandiflora. Its description in RNAcentral is "long non-coding RNA (CGRA_LNC001796)". Lineage: Eukaryota; Viridiplantae; Streptophyta; Magnoliopsida; Brassicales; Brassicaceae. The record is from RNAcentral.